RNAcentral lists this long non-coding RNA (232 nucleotides) under Gossypium raimondii (Peruvian cotton). RNAcentral describes it as "long non-coding RNA (GRAI_LNC009635)". The record is from RNAcentral. Lineage: Eukaryota; Viridiplantae; Streptophyta; Magnoliopsida; Malvales; Malvaceae.
GAUUAACUACCACAGCAAAUCAUACAUGACUUGAACUUAUCUGGGACAAAUCGAAUACCGGUACAUCUGCAUAUUCAAUUUUUAGAUCACUUUAAGCAUAGGACUAAGGUGGGGGAUUUGAUCUUCUGCACAAAAAGAGGUAAAACUUAAAAAAAAAAAAACAGUGGAAUUUUACAAAUCUCUUUCCUAGAUUCCGAGUUUGAGGUUAGUAUAAAUUAAGGUUUUAGGCCCC